RNAcentral lists this long non-coding RNA (200 nucleotides) under Elaeis guineensis (African oil palm). RNAcentral describes it as "long non-coding RNA (EGUI_LNC002940)". The record is from RNAcentral. Lineage: Eukaryota; Viridiplantae; Streptophyta; Magnoliopsida; Arecales; Arecaceae.
GGCAAGAUGAUAGCAACCGGAUCUGCAAAAUAAGUUUCUGAUCGGAAUUGACUUCGGUAGGGACCCUUUGAUGCUCAAGUAAGAAAUCAGUAGAACAGAAGGGAAGGAGCACACGAGAGGAGAAUAAUGCAUACCUUAAUGGUCCCUUGGUCAUUUCUUAUUUAUAGAUUGAUGUGAGAGCCAUAAAAGGAAAGAGCUAA